ACAGUCCAAAUAACAAUAUGAAAUGUCCAAGACAGUCUAUUAAUCCCCAAUGCAGUACUAGAAUGUAGCUUGAGCAUGUAGCUAACAUUCUGUGUACAACACUCCAUGGCAUGUCAUUCGAACCCCAUCUUCUUGGGUUUCUCGGACUUUUCAAUUAGAGUGGAUGUGUACUCGAGCCUGAGUAUGAAGAUCUUGGAGCG
Molecule: long non-coding RNA, 200 nt
Filed under: Oryza brachyantha (malo sina)
Lineage: Eukaryota; Viridiplantae; Streptophyta; Magnoliopsida; Poales; Poaceae
Description: long non-coding RNA (OBRA_LNC002275)
Source: RNAcentral